This 508-nucleotide ribosomal RNA is filed under the name uncultured bacterium. RNAcentral's name for it is "partial 16S ribosomal RNA". It matches the Rfam family "Bacterial small subunit ribosomal RNA", at positions 28 to 507 of the family's 1533-position model. The record is from RNAcentral.
GACGAACGCUGGCGGCGUGCCUAAUACAUGCAAGUCGAACGCUUCUUUCCUCCCGAGUGCUUGCACUCAAUUGGAAAGAGGAGUGGCGGACGGGUGAGUAACACGUGGGUAACCUACCCAUCAGAGGGGGAUAACACUUGGAAACAGGUGCUAAUACCGCAUAACAGUUUAUGCCGCAUGGCAUAAGAGUGAAAGGCGCUUUCGGGUGUCGCUGAUGGAUGGACCCGCGGUGCAUUAGCUAGUUGGUGAGGUAACGGCUCACCAAGGCCACGAUGCAUAGCCGACCUGAGAGGGUGAUCGGCCACACUGGGACUGAGACACGGCCCAGACUCCUACGGGAGGCAGCAGUAGGGAAUCUUCGGCAAUGGACGAAAGUCUGACCGAGCAACGCCGCGUGAGUGAAGAAGGUUUUCGGAUCGUAAAACUCUGUUGUUAGAGAAGAACAAGGACGUUAGUAACUGAACGUCCCCUGACGGUAGCUAAACAGAAAGCCACGGCUAACUACGUG